RNAcentral lists this ribosomal RNA (380 nucleotides) under uncultured eukaryote. RNAcentral's name for it is "partial 18S ribosomal RNA". It matches the Rfam family "Eukaryotic small subunit ribosomal RNA", at positions 592 to 976 of the family's 1831-position model. The record is from RNAcentral.
CAAUAGCGUAUAUUAAAGUUGUUGCAGUUAGAACGCUCGUAGUCGGAUUUCGGGGCGGGCCGACCGGUCUGCCGAUGGGUAUGCACUGGUCGGCGCGUCCUUCCUUCCGGAGACCGUCCCUACUCUUAACUGAGCGGGGGCGGGAGACGGGACUUUUACUUUGAAAAAAUCAGAGUGUUUCAAGCAGGCAGCUCGCUCUUGCAUGGAUUAGCAUGGGAUAAUGAAAUAGGACUUUGGUGCUAUUUUGUUGGUUUCGAACACCGAAGUAAUGAUGAGAAGGGACAGUCAGGGGCACUCGUAUUCCGCCGAGAGAGGUGAAAUUCUCAGACCAGCGGAAGACGGACCACUGCGAAAGCAUUUGCCAGGGAUGUUUUCACUGA